RNAcentral lists this ribosomal RNA (1178 nucleotides) under Phoma sp. G358. RNAcentral's name for it is "eukaryotic LSU rRNA". The stretch from base 541 to 1178 matches the Rfam family "Eukaryotic large subunit ribosomal RNA", at positions 1 to 654 of the family's 3401-position model. Lineage: Eukaryota; Fungi; Ascomycota; Dothideomycetes; Pleosporales; Didymellaceae. The record is from RNAcentral.
UCUUGGUCAAUUAGAGGAAGUAAAAGUCGUAACAAGGUUUCCGUAGGUGAACCUGCGGAAGGAUCAUUACCUUUCAAUGCAGCAGAAUUGGGAUGGUUGAGUAUCUCGCCUCUCAGUUCUGCCUGUAUUCUACCCUUGUUUGUCACAUACUAUUAUUUCCUCGGCAGGCUUGCCUGCCGAGUGAAACCAUUUAUAACCUUUUUAAUUUUCAAUCAGCGUCUGAAAAAAUUAAUAAUUACAACUUUCAACAACGGAUCUCUUGGUUCUGGCAUCGAUGAAGAACGCAGCGAAAUGCGAUAAGUAGUGUGAAUUGCAGAAUUCAGUGAAUCAUCGAAUCUUUGAACGCACAUUGCGCCCCUUGGUAUUCCAUGGGGCAUGCCUGUUCGAGCGUCAUUUGUACCUUCAAGCUUUGCUUGGUGUUGGGUGUUUGUCCCGAGGGACUCGCCUUAAAGUAAUUGGCAGCCAGUGUUUGGUUUUGAAGCGCAGCACAAGUCGCGAUUCAAGGCUACACGCCCGCUUCCACAAGCCUUUUUUCACUUUUGACCUCGGAUCAGGUAGGGAUACCCGCUGAACUUAAGCAUAUCAAUAAGCGGAGGAAAAGAAACCAACAGGGAUUGCCCUAGUAACGGCGAGUGAAGCGGCAACAGCUCAAAUUUGAAAUCUGGCUCUUUCAGAGUCCGAGUUGUAAUUUGCAGAGGGCGCUUUGGUGUUGGCAGCGGUCCAAGUUCCUUGGAACAGGACGUCACAGAGGGUGAGAAUCCCGUACGUGGUCGCUAGCCUUCGCCGUGUAAAGCCCCUUCGACGAGUCGAGUUGUUUGGGAAUGCAGCUCUAAAUGGGAGGUAAAUUUCUUCUAAAGCUAAAUACUGGCCAGAGACCGAUAGCGCACAAGUAGAGUGAUCGAAAGAUGAAAAGCACUUUGGAAAGAGAGUCAAAUAGCACGUGAAAUUGUUGAAAGGGAAGCGCUUGCAGCCAGACUUGCCUGUAGUUGCUUAUCCGGACUUUUGUCCGGUGCACUCUUCUGCGGGCAGGCCAGCAUCAGUUUGGGCGGUUGGAUAAAGGUCUCUGUCAUGUACCUCUCUUCGGGGAGAACUUAUAGGGGAGACGACAUGCAACCAGCCUGGACUGAGGUCCGCGCAUCUGCUAGGAUGCUGGCGUAAUGGCUGUAAGCGGCCCGUCU